ACAGAAAAGUAUUCCAAAUGUUAUCUACAUCGUAUUUUAACCAAAGAGGGCAUCAUGGUAUAAUAUCAACUAUAUGACAGCUCUAAGAAAAAAUUUAUUAUGAAUAAUGGUAAAAAUUUAUUAUGAGUAAUAGUAAGUUUACAAUAAAGGAUUUAUUAUAUAAACAAAUGUGAAAUGACUGUUCACUUAAUUAUCUUCAGCCAUAACUAAAGUCAGACCUCUAAAUUAGGUGUUAGAUUUAUAGAACAUAAGAAUCUGGUAGACAAAAGAAUGAUAUAUCAAAUGUUAACCUAUUCUCAAAAUCUUCUACACAUACAAGAAAAUGUAGAAUGUGACAAAUUUUCAUAUACAUGUAAGAUGACAAACAGUUAAAAAUGAUAUCCAUGACAACAGAGCCAAAUCUAGGUGACAGAGUCCUGUCCUAAUAAGCUCAUGGAGCAAGUGCUAUCUAUUUUUAAAGCACUUUCCUCAUUUUCUGGGUUUUUUUUUUUUUUUUGGGGGGGGGGGGGAGUUAGUAAACAUUUAGUGUCCACCAUAAAAACAUCUGUCAUAAAGACAAACUUUUUUGUGUGUGUCUUUUGUCUUUUUAGGGCUGCAAACAGAUAUGAAACUGGCCAUCUCUCCAUAAUCCUCAUCACCGAUACAUGUGUACUAAGAGAAGUAACAACAGAAACUAUGUGAGCCUAGGACCCAGCACUAUACCAAGAGCUGUAUAUCCUAUUUUAUCUUCACAGUAACCCUAUGAAGUAAAGAUGAGGAAACUAAGCCUUCAGGUAUGACAAGAAAGACUACUCUUCAAUCAAGUACGAUGCAGUGAUACUUCUAUCUUCUAUAAAACAGUGUGAAUGAGGCCCUGACCCUGAAACAACCAAUUUAUUGUCAUUUAUCCAUCCAUCCAUCCAUCAUCUGAAUAUAAGCCAUGUGCCAGGGUCGUGUACAAGAGCCAUCUAGCAUCUCGAGAUACUGAGAGAUACAAGAACCAACAAGCUACCUCCGUGGAAAUUAAGAGUAUCCAUGGUGAGCUACAAAAUUACUUAUGAUUUACAAAGAACAAAGUAGCAACCGCACAAUAGAGAAACCUCUCUGGUACUACUUUGACCAAGUCAUCAAAUUUAAAACCUAGAAGAAUGAAAUGAAGCAUGGGACACCCAGUGCACAGGAAACCAAGAACCUCUCGGCAUUGACUGAUUAACUGUUGGACAUAUCCACAUCU
Molecule: long non-coding RNA, 1213 nt
Organism: Sus scrofa (pig)
Lineage: Eukaryota; Metazoa; Chordata; Mammalia; Artiodactyla; Suidae
Source: RefSeq, a predicted model, not a curated record